AGAACGAACGCUGGCGGCAGGCCUAACACAUGCAAGUCGAACGCCCCGCAAGGGGAGUGGCAGACGGGUGAGUAACGCGUGGGAACGUGCCCUAAGGUACGGAACAACUCCGGGAAACUGGAGCUAAUACCGUAUGUGCCCGAAAGAGGAAAGAUUUAUCGCCUUGGGAUCGGCCCGCGUCUGAUUAGCUAGUUGGUAGGGUAACGGCCUACCAAGGCUACGAUCAGUAGCUGGUCUGAGAGGAUGACCAGCCACACUGGGACUGAGACACGGCCCAGACUCCUACGGGAGGCAGCAGUGGGGAAUAUUGGACAAUGGGCGAAAGCCUGAUCCAGCCAUGCCGCGUGAGUGAUGAAGGCCUUAGGGUUGUAAAGCUCUUUCGGGUGGGGACGAUAAUGACGGUACCGCAGAAGAAGCCCGGCUAACUUCGUGCCAGCAGCCGC
RNAcentral lists this ribosomal RNA (443 nucleotides) under uncultured bacterium. Its description in RNAcentral is "SSU rRNA". It matches the Rfam family "Bacterial small subunit ribosomal RNA", at positions 26 to 518 of the family's 1533-position model. The record is from RNAcentral.